Molecule: non-coding RNA, 477 nt
Organism: Cinara cedri
Lineage: Eukaryota; Metazoa; Arthropoda; Insecta; Hemiptera; Aphididae
Source: the annotation of a GenBank genome assembly
GAUGCCAAUAAAGUGGAUUCGUGUUUUUGUUUACGCAAUAAUAAUAUCAAAUUAUUUUAUACUCGCCAGAAUCGCAUGGUAUGAUGAAACGUAUUUUUCCAUUAAUAAUUUAGACAGAUACUAUGUAGGGUAAUUUAUUAGUUUAUACAUCCGAAAGCAACGAUACAUCAUUGAUAUCAAUAAACGACUCUGAUGAGAGGAGCUCGGUAAACCGUUAAGAUUGCAUUGUUAACCCAUAGUCGUUUUAUUUUCCUCUUGCAAUAGUCAAGAUAAUCCGGAAAUCGAUAAACAUCUAAUCGACGUCAUACGGUGUUAUUUUAAGGAAAAAUAGUUGACAAUUUCAAAAAAAAAAAAAACACGUUUAAAAUUACUGGACGAAAAAAUCGGACUAUUUCAACUAACCGAAAAAAUGUGUUUUCCAAGGGGGAGAAAUGUCACAUAUUAGUAAAACUAUUACUGUAAACAAAAAUAACUUUC